AUACAGAGGGUGCAAGCGUAUUCGGAAUUACUGGGCGUAAAGCGCGCGUAGGCGGAUGAUUAAGUCAGUUGUGAAAGCCCUGGGCUCAACCUAGGAACUGCAUCUGAUACUGGUCGUCUAGAGUUUAAGAGAGGGAAGUGGAAUUCCAGGUGUAGCAGUGAAAUGCGUAGAUAUCUGGAGGAACAUCAGUGGCGAAGGCGACUUCCUGGCUUAAAACUGACGCUGAGGUGCGAAAGCGUGGGUAGCGAACGGGAUUAGAAACCCCAGUAGUCC
Molecule: ribosomal RNA, 273 nt
Filed under: uncultured bacterium
Lineage: Bacteria
Description: partial 16S ribosomal RNA
Rfam family: Bacterial small subunit ribosomal RNA
Source: RNAcentral